UUCAGAAUGAAGAAACGUCAUUGAGUGCAGCGUUGAUGAAGUCCUUAGUUUCGUUUCCGAGUUCCGAUGAUCUUCAUGGAGGCGAGCUGGAGGCAAUUUCAUCAACGCUGCACCCAAUUAUGUUUCUAUUCCUUCUGGA
This 139-nucleotide microRNA precursor is filed under the name Fragaria vesca subsp. vesca. RNAcentral's name for it is "Fragaria vesca miR397 stem-loop (fve-MIR397)". Its record names the gene fve-MIR397. The stretch from base 8 to 128 matches the Rfam family "MIR397 microRNA precursor family". Lineage: Eukaryota; Viridiplantae; Streptophyta; Magnoliopsida; Rosales; Rosaceae. The record is from miRBase by way of RNAcentral.